AAAUGCAAAUGUAAAAAAUUGUAGUUGUUGCUAUUAAGCAAAUAAGAGAGGGAGAAGAGAGAGGGUUAGAAAGGGAGACUAGGCAGCUUCUCUUCUAUCUUGAACGAUGCUUUCUCUUCGGUGGCAAGACUCUUUUGGCGGCGGUGGCGACGAUCGACUGUUCAAAGGGGAAGGGUUUCGUUCUUCUCUUUGCUUCGACCUGGAAAAAAUCUCAGUUCGAUUUUUGAGACUUGAUGAUGACAAAAUAAAGGAGGAGAUCUAUGUGCAGUUCACUGGUGAAACUGUAGGGGAAGUGAAAGCUGUAGUAGAUAUGCAUCAAAGGAAAGCAGAUAUGGCUAAGCAUUCUGAUGUUUUUAUUGCCUUACCUGAUAAAAAUAAGUAAACUGGAAUUUGUGCACCGACUGCUAACGGGGUGGUGCAUUUCUGCUUCUUGGUUGUUUUGAUCCAUUCAAUAAGAAAGCAGUUUGAGCUAGCCGAGGAGCCUCCUUUCAGCUUCCUAUAGUUUCUGGAACUUGGACUCAUCUAGAAGCUCUCAGAAAUAAAUUCCAUUUGAAGAUUUUGGCUGGUCAUCCUGAGAGUAAUGAACAAUCGAAGCCAGUGUCUAGGCUUUCUCAAGGGCUUGCAGAUUCUUUAGCAAAUUUGCCACUGUGCUUGGUCCUGGGUGGCGAAGGGAAUGGCCUUUCAGCAAAAACUAGGCAGGUUCUUAUGGUGCCACAAUGCCACUUCUGCUAUUUCAAGUCACUGCAGACGCUUUGAUGUAGUUGAAGAAGUUGAAGUAAUAAAGCUGCAGGGAAAUAAGGCCAUGCCUCUAUUAAUUACCAGAUUGAGUUCUAUAAAAAGGAGGGUUUAACACCAUACUUCCUAUAACUAGUGAUGUUCUUGAAGGCUGUGUGAUUAUAAAGAAACACAUUCCCAUCACAAAUUUGUUCACCUGUCUGUGGUUUAAUGAAGUCGAUCGUUUUACUUCUGAGGAUCAGUUGAGCUUCUCCACUGUACAGGACAGAAUAAUGGCCGAAGUUAACUGGAGUGUCGAUAUGUUUAUGGAUUGUGAAAGGCGAAAUUUCGUGAUUCAGGUAGUAAUUUAUUUAUUACUAUAUAUGUGUGUUUGUCUGUGUUCUCUUCAAUAUAAUAGAUUCAUACAUAUAAUAUGUUGAAAGUGUAAUUUCACUGCUUUUGUCAACUUAUAUGGCUUUCCAUAGUAAAGGCCAUCAUAUGUUCAUAACAAACUUGAUAGGCUGAUAAAACAAUCAUUUCAAUUGAUGAUAGACUAACAGCUUGAAUAUACUAACAGCUUCACAGCAUGUUGAUUGGUUUGGAACCUUUGAAUCCUAACUGCUCAUUUUCUUAUCUUCUCUUUGAUUUCUAUGUUCCUUUCAUGCGGCGUCAACAAGUUGGUUUUCUCUUCCUCUCUCAUUCUCUUCUUAUCUUCUCUCCUUCUCUAAGGUAUGAUUUUUCUUCACUGUUUUAAAGUUCUUAUUUGUCAUUAAAUUUCUUUCUUCGUAUAAAAACUGAUUUGGAAUUUGUGAUGAAAAAAUAUGUUGGCUAAUGUUUGUAAAAAAUCAUGUGCUUUUAGAUUGAAUAUCAUAAACCCCAAAAAAUAUGUUGGCUAUUGUUUGUAAAAAAAUAUGAAUUUUUCUAAUUUUUCAUUAUGAUAUUGCUUUUAUGGGGCCAUUGAAUCAUCUUAUUAAUUUUGGAAAUAUUUUGUUGAUGUUUUAAAAUUUCUUGAUCAUUUCUUAAUACCUCAAGAAAUAAUUGUCACUGAGUCGUCGGUUUUUGUAUUUCUGUGAAGUUUCCUUUGUCAUGCAGACAAGAAAUGCAACAGGGUUAGUUGCUCUAGCUAUUGUCGCGGGUUUAUGUGCCUUAACACAUACAUUGGGUAUCCUCGUCGUUGUGAUAGGAGCAAGUGGAUUUCCUACAGCUACAACUGCUAUAGAAAUUAUUGUCGGUAGUUUUAGAUAAUCUCUUAAUAGUUGUCGAUAUAUUUAGAAAGUUAGAUAUGCAUAGUUUUGGAUGGUUUAAACUUUUUGUACAGUUUAGAACUUAAGGAUAUAGUUUUCGAA
Camellia sinensis is the source of this 2060-nucleotide non-coding RNA. The record is from RefSeq and is a predicted model, not a curated record. Lineage: Eukaryota; Viridiplantae; Streptophyta; Magnoliopsida; Ericales; Theaceae.